CCUACGGGAGGCAGCAGCAAGGAAUUUUGGGCAAUGGGCGCAAGCCUGACCCAGCGACGCCGCGUGGGGGAAGACGGCUUUCGGGUUGUAAACCCCUUUUCUCAGGGAAGAAUAAUGACGGUACCUGAGGAAUAAGUCUCGGCUAACUACGUGCCAGCAGCCGCGGUAAUACGUAGGAGGCAAGCGUUAUCCGGAUUUACUGGGCGUAAAGCGGGCGCAGGCGGUCUGGCAAGUCGGAUGUGAAAUCUCCCGGCUUAACUGGGAGCGGUCAUUCGAUACUGUUAGGCUUGAGGGCAGCAAAGGGAGGUGGAAUUCCCGGUGUAGUGGUGAAAUGCGUAGAUAUCGGGAGGAACACCAGUGGCGAAAGCGGCCUCCUGGGCUGUUGCUGACGCUGAGGCCCGAAAGCGUGGGGAGCGAACAGGAUUAGAUACCCUGGUAGUCCACGCUGUAAACGUUGGACACUAGGUAUGGGGAGUAUCGACCCUCUCCGUGCCGAAGCUAACGCGUUAAGUGUCCCGCCUGGGGACUACGACCGCAAGGUUAAAACUCAAAGGAAUUGACGG
Molecule: ribosomal RNA, 563 nt
Filed under: uncultured Chloroflexota bacterium
Lineage: Bacteria; Bacillati; Chloroflexota
Description: bacterial SSU rRNA
Rfam family: Bacterial small subunit ribosomal RNA
Source: RNAcentral